CCUACGGGUGGCAGCAGUGGGGAAUAUUGCGCAAUGGGCGAAAGCCUGACGCAGCGACGCCGCGUGAGGGAUGAAGGUCUUCGGAUCGUAAACCUCUGUCAGCAGGGAAGAACGGUCACUGUGCUAAUCAGCAGUGAAUUGACGGUACCUGCAAAGGAAGCACCGGCUAACCCCGUGCCAGCAGCCGCGGUAAUACGGAGGGUGCGAGCGUUAAUCGGAAUUACUGGGCGUAAAGCGCUCGUAGGCGGUAUGUCAAGUCAAGGGUGAAAUCCCCGCGCUCAACGUGGGAACUGCCUUUGAAACGGGCAAACUGGAGUGUGUGAGAGGAUAGUGGAAUUCCAGGUGUAGGAGUGAAAGCCGUAGAUAUCUGGAGGAACAUCAGUGGCGAAGGCGACUAUCUGGCACAUAACCGACGCUGAGGAGCGAAAGCGUGGGUAGCAAACAGGAUUAGAUACCCGGGUAGUC
Molecule: ribosomal RNA, 465 nt
Filed under: uncultured bacterium
Lineage: Bacteria
Description: partial 16S ribosomal RNA
Rfam family: Bacterial small subunit ribosomal RNA
Source: RNAcentral